RNAcentral lists this ribosomal RNA (373 nucleotides) under uncultured organism. RNAcentral describes it as "bacterial SSU rRNA". It matches the Rfam family "Bacterial small subunit ribosomal RNA", at positions 526 to 896 of the family's 1533-position model. The record is from RNAcentral.
CGGGGGGGGCAAGCGUUGUUCGGAUUUACUGGGCGUAAAGGGCGCGUAGGCGGCGCCGCGAGUCACUUGUGAAAUCUCCGGGCUUAACCCGGAGCGGCCAAGUGAUACUGCGGCGCUGGAGUGCGGAAGGGGCCACCGGAAUUCUCGGUGUAGCGGUGAAAUGCGUAGAUAUCGAGAGGAACACCUGCGGCGAAGGCGGGUGGCUGGGCCGACACUGACGCUGAGGCGCGAAAGCCAGGGGAGCGAACGGGAUUAGAUACCCCGGUAGUCCUGGCCUUAAACGAUGGAUGCUUGGUGUCCGGGGUGAGGAAGUCCCCGGGUGCCGGCGCUAACGCAUUAAGCAUCCCGCCUGGGGAGUACGGUCGCAAGACUG